This 106-nucleotide small nucleolar RNA is filed under the name Gossypium hirsutum (cotton). RNAcentral's name for it is "Plant small nucleolar RNA R71". It matches the Rfam family "Plant small nucleolar RNA R71". Rfam says of the family: R71 is a member of the C/D box family of snoRNAs containing the C (UGAUGA) and D (CUGA) box motifs. Multiple nearly identical copies of this snoRNA have been identified in Arabidopsis, and it is thought to function as a 2'-O-ribose methylation guide for 18S ribosomal RNA. Lineage: Eukaryota; Viridiplantae; Streptophyta; Magnoliopsida; Malvales; Malvaceae. The record is from Rfam by way of RNAcentral.
AUCCCAUGAUGAGGAACUUGUGAAGUAACUCCUUGAAUCGCUCCCAAGCCUCAUAUAAAGGCUCAUCAUCCAAUUGUUGGAAUGUUGUGAUCUCGUUCCUCAACUU